Small nucleolar RNA from Tachyglossus aculeatus (Australian echidna), 138 nucleotides. The record is from RefSeq and is a predicted model, not a curated record. NCBI's taxonomy places the organism in Eukaryota, Metazoa, Chordata, Mammalia, Monotremata, Tachyglossidae.
CGUCUCUCAGGGUGGCACCUGGAGAGUUUUUAGGACUCUACCGGUCCCGGCUACUGGAGGGAGAGUCAAGCAGAGGCCUGCCCAUUCCAUUCCUAGCUUGGCCGGUGGCUAGCGAGCGGAAGGCAAUUUGCCACAAUC